RNAcentral lists this ribosomal RNA (301 nucleotides) under uncultured bacterium. RNAcentral describes it as "partial 16S ribosomal RNA". It matches the Rfam family "Bacterial small subunit ribosomal RNA", at positions 509 to 807 of the family's 1533-position model. The record is from RNAcentral.
CAGUCGCCACGGUAAUACGAAGGGGGCUAGCGUUGCUCGGAAUCACUGGGCGUAAAGGGUGCGUAGGCGGGUUUUUAAGUCAGGGGUGAAAUCCUGGAGCUCAACUCCAGAACUGCCCUUGAUACUGGGAAUCUUGAGUAUGGGAGAGGUGAGUGGAACUGCGAGUGUAGAGGUGAAAUUCGUAGAUAUUCGCAAGAACACCAGUGGCGAAGGCGGCUCACUGGCCCAUAACUGACGCUGAGGCACGAAAGCGUGGGGAGCAAACAGGAUUAGAUACCCGCGUAGUCCCUGUCUCUUAUAC